This 70-nucleotide transfer RNA is filed under the name Rhodeus cyanorostris. RNAcentral describes it as "tRNA-Tyr". It matches the Rfam family "tRNA". From Rfam's summary of the family: Transfer RNA (tRNA) molecules are approximately 80 nucleotides in length. Their secondary structure includes four short double-helical elements and three loops (D, anti-codon, and T loops). Further hydrogen bonds mediate the characteristic L-shaped molecular structure. tRNAs have two regions of fundamental functional importance: the anti-codon, which is responsible for specific mRNA codon recognition, and the 3' end, to which the tRNAs corresponding amino acid is attached (by aminoacyl-tRNA synthetases). tRNAs cope with the degeneracy of the genetic code in two manners: having more than one tRNA (with a specific anti-codon) for a particular amino acid; and 'wobble' base-pairing, i.e. permitting non-standard base-pairing at the 3rd anti-codon position. Lineage: Eukaryota; Metazoa; Chordata; Actinopteri; Cypriniformes; Acheilognathidae. The record is from RNAcentral.
GGUAGGGUGGCCGAGCGUCAGGUGUCGGAUUGUAGCCCCGCAGACAGAGGUUUAAGUCCUCUCCCCAUCA